GUGGCAAUGGGGCUCUGGACAAUAGGAAUGCCUUGCUUUUCAAACAAGAGGCUCAAGUCAAAUGCCAUCUCCCCAAAGUAAGCUUUCCUAGAACUAUACUCUCCACCAAAGGGACAGCCCAGUUAGAGUGUCUCAGCCCACGGAGCCGUGCCAACAUUGAUCCCAUAAAACAGAAUUUGGCUUAGAGAGAGAUUCGCCCCACCCAUGCUGGAUGAGAAAAAUCUAACUAAACAGCUUUGAAGUUGUUUAGACUUGAAUUUGAUUCCCACCUCUGUCAGUAAUUAUGUGUGUGAACUUGGCUAAAUUGCUGACUCUUUCUUAAUUUCAACUUUGUCUUUUUUAAUAAAUGGGAAUACUGUAUGUG
This is a non-coding RNA of Microcebus murinus (gray mouse lemur), 364 nucleotides long. The record is from RefSeq and is a predicted model, not a curated record. Lineage: Eukaryota; Metazoa; Chordata; Mammalia; Primates; Cheirogaleidae.